AAGAAAUGUGAAACGCUUAUUUUAUCCUAUGAGAAAAGCCAAUAAAAGGAAAGAAUCACCCAAGGCAUUUUUUUUUUAUUAUUCAAAAUUGGCAGGAAAUUUUGUUUAUAAAACUAUGGAAACCAACUUGAAAUUUACAUACAAGGAUUUCAAAACUUGUUUUGCUAAUGCAGUGUCACUCAAGAAUUCACUGAACCUCACAAGGUUCUUGAAAGCUUGAACUGCAGUGGAGGGUAUUAUACUGAGUGAAAUGAGAAGGAGGAAAAAGAACUCUAGAUGCACAGCUUGGAACAGCCUCUGUUUCCUCUUGUUUCCCAAGACAGUCCUAACUUCAAAUGAGUCCUCCUGCCCUGGUAAGAUCCUGUUUAUCAGAUUUUAUGUCCUGAUGCACUUGAUUUGGGAAAUAUGGUAAAUGUAGCAAAAAUGCACAAAAUGAAGAGGACCUAUGAUGCACUGCUGCGCUGUGGUGCAAGGUUUAUGAUAAGGAGCAAUAAGAAAUAACAUUAGAAACUAGGCCUGUAAGGACUUACUAUAGAAGGCUUUAUAUGCAAUAGUAAGAAGUUUGGACUUUGUGCUCCAGGCAGAGAAGACAUCAAAUUUUUCAAAAAAAUAUUUAUGAUCAUUUUUUUAUAAUAAAUUUAUUUUUUAUUGGUGUUCA
Molecule: long non-coding RNA, 658 nt
Filed under: Vulpes vulpes (red fox)
Lineage: Eukaryota; Metazoa; Chordata; Mammalia; Carnivora; Canidae
Description: lncRNA (ENSVVUG00000009765.1)
Source: RNAcentral